RNAcentral lists this long non-coding RNA (1430 nucleotides) under Anser cygnoides (Swan goose). RNAcentral's name for it is "lncRNA (ENSACDG00005006274.1)". The record is from RNAcentral. Lineage: Eukaryota; Metazoa; Chordata; Aves; Anseriformes; Anatidae.
UUAGGCAUUGGAAUGGACUGCCCAGGGAGGUGGUUGAGUCGCCAUCCCUGGAGAUCUUUAAAAGACAUUUAGAUGUAGAGCUUAGUGAUAUGGUUUAGUGGAGGGCUUGUUAGUGUUAGGUCAGAGGUUGGACUCGGUGAUCUUGGAGGUCUCUUCCAACCUGGAUGAUUCUGUGAUUCUGUGAUUCUGUGAUAAUCAUACUGAAAAACACAAUAAUACACAGCGGUUACUUUUUUGUGUGUUCUCAAACAUCUACACUACACUGGUAGUUCACGCUACCAGCACCAAGAUAUAAAAAGGCCAUCAUUUUUUCAAACAUAAUAUUAGAUAUUAAAUUACAAUGGAGAGUUAUAUAAAGGAUGGCUGGUAUCUGGGAGGCAGUUCCUUCUCCUCACAUCCCAUUGGAGGAUUAAAGUAAAUAAAUUAUUUUCUGUCUAUGUUCCCAAGCUAGAAAGCUCAUAAUGUAUUAAUCACCUUUACUCCAUCAACAGCCAUACUCCUACUAAAUUCUGAGCUAGGAAGAAAUAGCAUGGGCUCAUUUCAAAUCAUCAGACUUCACACAGUGGAAAAUAUUUUUACUCCCAUACUGGAUAAUUUAUAAUCCACUGCCUAACAGCAAGCCUCGUAUCAAGUACCACCUCACCGGCAGAAACAGCUUCCUUGGCUCUGGGCAAGUGAAUGCAGAGUUGAGAAAGGACAUUGGAAGCCCCUGGAAAUGCAAACACAAAACCAUGCCCUGAUUGCCACCGUGGCACUAUAGCCAAAAGAAUCAUAGAAUCAUAGAAUCAUAGAAUAUCCUGAGUUGGAAGGGACCCUUAAGGAUCAUCAAGUCCAACUCCUGGCACCACACAGGUCUACCCAAAAGUUCAGACCAUGUGACUAAGUGCACAGUCCAAUCUCUUCUUAAAUUCAGACAGGCUCGGUGCAGUGACCACUUCCCUGGGGAGCCUGUUCCAGUGUGCAGUGACCACUUCCCUGGGGAGCCUGUUCCAGUGUGCAACCACCCUCUCUGUGAAGAACCCCCUCCUGAUGUCGAGCCUAAAUUUCCCCUGCCUCAGCUUAACCCCGUUCCCGCGGGUCCUGUCACUGCUGUUAAUGGAGAAAAGGUCUCCUGCCUCUCGACACCCCCUUACGAGGAAGUUGUAGACUGUGAUGAGGUCUCCCCUCAGCCUCCUCUUGCAUCGGUCUGCUACACAACAAGCGAUUCACCCUGAAACAAGAAAGAUGCUAACUCACAUAACACAGCUUUCAGCUGCAGCUAUUGGUCUGCAGAGAAAGCAGCAAGAUCACAAUAACACUUCCGUAGUCUGAAGUUCCUGCCUUCCAAUGCACACUGUCUUUUACGCCUGCAAGUCUUUUUGAAAUAUGCAAAAUAUUGACCAUUCCUGAAAUUGGGAGACACCUUGGCACAGGGCUAUCAUGGCCUCAAC